This is a long non-coding RNA of Tympanuchus pallidicinctus (lesser prairie-chicken), 953 nucleotides long. RefSeq lists it as uncharacterized. NCBI's taxonomy places the organism in Eukaryota, Metazoa, Chordata, Aves, Galliformes, Phasianidae. The transcript is spliced from 8 exons. The record is from RefSeq and is a predicted model, not a curated record.
UGAUAGAUCGGGAUUUAAUCAAAUAACUGAAGACUAUUUCUUUAGUGCAAAUGAAGGAGUACAAACAUUGGGAACUGAAAGAGUUUACCAUGAAUGUGAGUUUCUUGAGGCUUUGAGACUCGGAGGUGGUGAUUUCUCCAUGUUUUUAAUUGUGGACACCUGUUGCUUCCCAGAAUUUUGAAAUACUACAUGAGGCUAUUUGUGGAGUUAUGGCAACACAGCAUGUGUUCCGCAUGGUUGGAUUGCUCACUUCAACAUAUUUCUGAAGAAGGAAUGGUUUAAAGAAUCCAUGUACAUUGCACAGAGGAAUAUCAGCUAGAAAGGAAGAAAUACAUCCACCUGUACAACAGCACAGCUUUGAUGACCAUCUUUGGAAAGCACAGGAACCUCCUGCUGUUGGAAGAAAAAAGAAGAAAGAAAGAAAGAAAGAAAUCAACUUGCUGGAACCUCACUGAAAAAGUUUAAAACAUCAACAGAUACACAGGAUGCAGCUCAGAAUAUGUUAUCGUGUCCUGUCAGGCAGGAGAAGGAUAAGAACUCCAUAUUUUGAUUAUAUGACUAACUGGAUCAUUCUGCACUUGUCUAGUAAGAGCCUGUGCCCAUUCUUUAAAGUCUUCUGAUAUGUUUUGAGACGUUUGAGACGGAAAACAGAAGAAAGAUGGAGGAUGAAGACAGUGAUGUGGAGGUUCAUCAGGUGAAAAAGGGCUAUUCUAGAAAGUGCUUCACGUGAUCUGGAAGAAGUGAAAUCAGCUUUUCUCAAGCAGAGGAGAGGUUAGCCAUGCUUUUCCACUUCCAUAUGUGAGUUCAAACAUCUGAUCUAUUAGAUAAAGGUCUCUGCCUCUGCUCUUCUGGCAAUUACUCGAAGCUAGUCCUUAAAAUACAGUUGUACUGAGUAUGAAAGAUUCGUUCUGAAGUUUCUGAAAUCACUUUCUGGAGAUGUAGGAAGAAGGUCU